GACGAGGGGUCCAAGCGUUGUUCGGAAUCAUUGGGCGUAAAGCGGGUGUAGGCGGCUCUAUAAGUCAGGAGUGAAAGCCCCGAGCUUAACUUGGGAAGUGCUUUUGAUACUGCAGAGCUUGAAUGUGGGAGAGGUUAGUGGAAUUCCUGGUGUAGUGGUGAAAUGCGUAGAGAUCCGGAGGAACCCCAGAGGCGAAGGCGGCGCUCUGGCUCGCAACUGACGCUCAGACACGACAGCAUGGGGAGCGAACGGG
RNAcentral lists this ribosomal RNA (253 nucleotides) under uncultured bacterium. Its description in RNAcentral is "partial 16S ribosomal RNA". It matches the Rfam family "Bacterial small subunit ribosomal RNA", at positions 524 to 776 of the family's 1533-position model. The record is from RNAcentral.